CAAAACCCCAAAACACCCGAGGUGCUCCCAGCUCUCUCCCCAGAAAGGCCCUGUUUCACCCCAUAUUAUCUGAAGCAGCCCAGGAUGAACUGCUGUGUGGGGCUCCUCACGCCAUCCUGUCCUUCCUGGAUGAGGCUGCUUGUGAUUCUGCUGCUGCUGAGAUUUUUGCUAAUUAUUUGGUGAUUAGAACAUCUGCUCCCAAAGUGAUGAUCACAACACAAGUGGAAACAAUCUACAUGAGCCUGAGGACCCUUUGGCCCACCCACUGCACACUAUUCUGUGGAAAUUGUGAGUGGCUACUACGUUUUGGAUGAACUUCUUUAUUUGGAUGAGCUUCUUUAUUCACUGUUUAUUCUCCUCUGAGUAAAUUCUUUCUCUUAAACCUAGAAAGCAGCCAUGGGUAUGAAGCCAGUUAGGCUGCUAUCAGUAGAAGAUACUGCUGAAAAUGUUUAUUGAUAAAGGAAGAUCCUGCUGAUUAGCCAAGUGAGCCAGAAAACAAGGGCUAAUCUUGGGUACAGGACAUGGAAUUACACUAUAAACUGCAAGUUAAAUGCUAAAACAGAAAAAAAUCUCUUUGGAUCACUUAAUGAACGACUAUAUAAAACACAGAUCUUUUUAUGAAUUCAUGUAGAGUCAAGUGAUACCGAUGCACUUGCACAAAUUUUUUUUGCUUUUCCACGGCACAUAAAUAGCUCUUCGUUACUUAUCCAGCUUUUGUUCCCUGCCCUCAAUACUAUUUGAUUUCAAGAAGGAAUUCUACAUCAAGAACAAAAAGGGUCUCUACCAGCCUUUGAAAUGGAAAUGUAGAAGUCUCAGUGUGAAAUUGUAAAAGUCCUUGAUAUGCAAUCUGCUUGACCCAAAGACCAUCUGAGAAGUGCAUGUGUUGGGAACCCUGGUGAUAUAUAUACCACCAUAAAACAGCUCACUUCUACCAGUGGUCUCUGCUGUUACAAAUCACUAUGUGUUUUAAAAUAAGUGCUUUGCUCUGAUGGUGUAGAUAUGUGUAGAUUUAUUAUAAGAAAGGCAACUGGAAAUCAAAUAUUUAUUGCCUAAUUAUUCUGAAUAUUCAUGAAAUCUAAGUGAACACAUAAGGCAAUAAUAUGCUCUUAAAAAUGUGUGAAACAUCUUUUGGCUCCUUUAUGAACUCCCAAGAGCAGGACUGAUAGGGAAAAGCAUACUACUUCUUUUGUCCUAUAAUUUGUCCUGAGGAAGGUUUAGUCCCAUAAAACUAUGAGUGCUUGCCAGUGUUUUCAACUUAGGGAUGAAAAAAAAAAAACC
RNAcentral lists this long non-coding RNA (1278 nucleotides) under Cyanistes caeruleus (blue tit). RNAcentral's name for it is "lncRNA (ENSCCEG00000015026.1)". Lineage: Eukaryota; Metazoa; Chordata; Aves; Passeriformes; Paridae. The record is from RNAcentral.